Molecule: long non-coding RNA, 362 nt
Filed under: Zonotrichia albicollis (white-throated sparrow)
Lineage: Eukaryota; Metazoa; Chordata; Aves; Passeriformes; Passerellidae
Description: lncRNA (ENSZALG00000012651.1)
Source: RNAcentral
GGUCACUCAAAAUGGAUGUUUGCUUUGAACUUCAUUCUUCUAACUAAAGGAAACUUCUUACUGCAGAGACAACGCAGCCAGAGACAACUCUAUUAGCACAAAGCACAUUCCAGCAAAUGCCAAGGGCUUUCCAGUGAAUACAGGGUGGAGAGGACACAGCCUUCCCACCAGAGAGGUGGCCAACACUUCCCUUCCAAAGAGCUUCCACUGCCAGCUCUGUAUCAGCCCUGGGGUAGGUGGAGUCAAUUUUUCACUUUUAACUUCUUGCUUGCUGAGUUUGCAUUUUGAAUUUUCUGCUUUGUGCCAACUUUUCCCUCAAUUUCCCAGCUUCUGGCUGCUGCUGCACCUCAAUGGAUGUCUCC